RNAcentral lists this transfer RNA (55 nucleotides) under Thalassiosira minuscula. Lineage: Eukaryota; Bacillariophyta; Thalassiosirophyceae; Thalassiosirales; Thalassiosiraceae. The record is from RNAcentral.
AGGCGAAAUCGGCCGCGAUGGAGGCGUCGCGCAAGCUGAACUUGCGUCUGCAAGG